This 1207-nucleotide ribosomal RNA is filed under the name metagenome. Its description in RNAcentral is "bacterial SSU rRNA". It matches the Rfam family "Bacterial small subunit ribosomal RNA", at positions 277 to 1498 of the family's 1533-position model. The record is from RNAcentral.
CGAUGGGUAGGGGUCCUGAGAGGGAGAUCCCCCACACUGGUACUGAGACACGGACCAGACUCCUACGGGAGGCAGCAGUGAGGAAUAUUGGACAAUGGGCGCAAGCCUGAUCCAGCCAUGCCGCGUGCAGGAUGACGGUCCUAUGGAUUGUAAACUGCUUUUAUACGAGAAGAAACACUACUUCGUGAAGUAGCUUGACGGUAUCGUAAGAAUAAGGAUCGGCUAACUCCGUGCCAGCAGCCGCGGUAAUACGGAGGAUCCAAGCGUUAUCCGGAAUCAUUGGGUUUAAAGGGUCCGUAGGCGGUUUAAUAAGUCAGUGGUGAAAGCCCAUCGCUCAACGGUGGAACGGCCAUUGAUACUGUUAAACUUGAAUUAUUAGGAAGUAACUAGAAUAUGUAGUGUAGCGGUGAAAUGCUUAGAGAUUACAUGGAAUACCAAUUGCGAAGGCAGGUUACUACUAAUGGAUUGACGCUGAUGGACGAAAGCGUGGGUAGCGAACAGGAUUAGAUACCCUGGUAGUCCACGCCGUAAACGAUGGAUACUAGCUGUUGGAAGCAAUUUCAGUGGCUAAGCGAAAGUGAUAAGUAUCCCACCUGGGGAGUACGUUCGCAAGAAUGAAACUCAAAGGAAUUGACGGGGGCCCGCACAAGCGGUGGAGCAUGUGGUUUAAUUCGAUGGUACGCGAGGAACCUUACCAAGGCUUAAAUGUAGAUUGACCGGUUUGGAAACAGAUCUUUCGCAAGACAAUUUACAAGGUGCUGCAUGGUUGUCGUCAGCUCGUGCCGUGAGGUGUCAGGUUAAGUCCUAUAACGAGCGCAACCCCUGUUGUUAGUUGCCAGCGAGUCAAGUCGGGAACUCUAACAAGACUGCCAGUGCAAACUGUGAGGAAGGUGGGGAUGACGUCAAAUCAUCACGGCCCUUACGCCUUGGGCUACACACGUGCUACAAUGGCCGGUACAGAGAGCAGCCACUGGGCGACCAGGAGCGAAUCUAUAAAACCGGUCACAGUUCGGAUCGGAGUCUGCAACUCGACUCCGUGAAGCUGGAAUCACUAGUAAUCGGAUAUCAGCCAUGAUCCGGUGAAUACGUUCCCGGGCCUUGUACACACCGCCCGUCAAGCCAUGGAAGCUGGGGGUGCCUGAAGUCGGUGACCGCAAGGAGCUGCCUAGGGUAAAACUGGUAACUAGGGCUAAGUCGUAACAAGGUA